UACGAAGGGGGCUAGCGUUGCUCGGAAUCACUGGGCGUAAAGCGCACGUAGGCGGGUUGCCAAGUCGGGGGUGAAAGCCCGGAGCUCAACUCCGGAACUGCCAUUGAAACUGUUUAGCUUGAGGAUGAGAGAGGUGAGUAGAAUUCCCAGUGUAGAGGUGAAAUUCGUAGAUAUUGGGAAGAACACCGGUGGCGAAGGCGGCUCACUGGCUCAUUACUGACGCUCAGGCGCGAUAGCGUGGGGAUCAAACAGG
This 253-nucleotide ribosomal RNA is filed under the name uncultured bacterium. Its description in RNAcentral is "partial 16S ribosomal RNA". It matches the Rfam family "Bacterial small subunit ribosomal RNA", at positions 524 to 776 of the family's 1533-position model. The record is from RNAcentral.